AUCAACAAAACUUUCAAAAACAAUUCGCAAAGACUGAUGGGAAAUCAAGAUGGUAGCGCCCAUUUCAAACAUGACUUUUCGUCACAAUUUGUUGCAUAUUCUGAACUAGUGAGUACCAAAGGUGUCAAUUGCACCACAGAUAACCACCGAACAAACACCGAAAGGGGAAAACAACAUCGCCCCUACAAUUUUCUACUUUACCAUCAUAAGUUCGGGUAGUACAGAAGUUAUCAACUCAAUUUUAUCGAUGUGGUCUGUCACAUGGUGGAGAGCUGUUGAUAGCAAUUUAACCAAAUAAUUGAUUAUUGUGCUAGAAUUUAAAUCCGGUAGUUUUUUCAUUAUUAUAUUCUUCGUUUUAUAGUGAAGUUUUACGAUUCGCUAGAAUUGUUUUAGUUCUAGUUAAGUUCGGUAGGAAUGUUUCAGACAGCUUAUUUAUCGACUGUUGGUCACAACUUCUUGGUUUUUCUCAUCAGAUUACAAUAAAUGUUGCUAUUAAUACGCGUAA
Venturia canescens is the source of this 505-nucleotide long non-coding RNA. RefSeq lists it as uncharacterized. The record is from RefSeq and is a predicted model, not a curated record. NCBI's taxonomy places the organism in Eukaryota, Metazoa, Arthropoda, Insecta, Hymenoptera, Ichneumonidae. The transcript is spliced from 2 exons.